GCCCAGAUAUAAUUUUUUUAAAAGUAGGCACUCAGAAAAAAAACCCCCAAAACAAAAAAAAACCCAGAAUGCCACAGAUUUCAGUCUGCAUCAGAGAAUGCUCUCAUUAAAAGGAAACCUUCAGUUCCUUUGUCUGAAGAAACCUCUCGCUUUGUUCAUGUUUAAGAGAAAUGGUUCUAGUUACUGAGAGAGUGUUUGCCUUGCUCAAAAAAAAUGUUUGUGUGGGAGAUGUUUUACAUUUGAGUGACGCCAGAGAGCCAAAAUGUGAAGCUAUAUUGGCAGCAGUGACCACAGGCUGAUGUAGCUGGAAAAAUUCAGCUGAAAGCCUUUGGGGAAAGGGGAGGAUUCCCCCUCCCUGUCCAGGCAAAUGGGUUGUCUGGAUAAGGCCAAGCUCUUUCUGGGUGGGAAAAAUCCGGGUCAGGCAAUGUCCAGGGCUGGAGUACCCUCUUGCCAUCGCCCUGGCUGAGGGCACAUCUGGGCUGCACAUCUGGGGCUGUGCACACCUGCCCACCUGCAGCUCUGUGCUAUUUCUGCCUGCAUGCACUAGAUGGCAUUGCCAACUUGGCUACAGGGACUGUGGGCUCCCAGUGGGCUUCCACGGGGAGUAUGAGCAGUGCUGUUGAUGAUAAUUUGUGAUUUUUUUAAAGUUCUCUGUAUUAGGGAGAGCAUGAUACAGCUGCCAUAUCUGGCAUGGACAGCUCAGGGUGCUGGUGCCUGGGCAUCACAGAGCUGGUGCCACAGCAGGUGUGACUGAAGCCCACGUUGUACUUGUGCUGAGCAGCUGAGGUCCAGCCUGGGGCCCUUCUUUUGGGCACUGGCUGAGCACACAGAAAGAAAUGGUCUUUGUUGUUGCCAACAACCCCUACAAGUGAGGUGGACAAAUAUGAGAAAGGCUAGGUCAGUGGGAUCUGAAUGAGAAACCUGAAUACCAGAGACAUCAGGAGUUCAGCUGAAUCAAGCACCUCUUGAUUCCCCAUUCAGGUGGUUUAUUCCCUUUUGUUGUCUUCAGUCAGAGCCUUGCCCCUGUCCCAGUUUCUCCCCUGGUUGUGCAUGCUGGGCUGGGAUCACUAACACUGAAGCUGAACAGAAAGCUGUGGGGAGAGGGUGCAUCUGAGGGGUUGUGACCUGGUUCCUUGUCUAUAGCAGCUGGGACUGAAUGCCUGAAAAACAUGAAAGCAUACCAAAAAUGGGGGAAUUAUAAUCUGGAGAGCCUUCCUAAACUGUCACUUGCUCCUUGAACUCUGAGCUGCUUUGUAAAGGCCAAAGGUACAUUGCUGGGUUUUUUUGUAUCCCUACAUCCAUUUGCAGAGAGUAAACCAAGUCAAUAAAAUCAAGAAGGAGUGCCUGUGUUGGAUCUGCAACAGAGUCAUAUCCCUGAAAGCAGGAAACCCACCCCAGGGUAGGUUCUGCAGGGCACUGUUCAGCUCUGGAAUGCUGAACAGUGUGGGAACAAGCAGCCAGGGUUGCUUGGUGCUCCUCUUGGGUGUUUGUGCUCCAAGACUCUGAGCACCUCCUGUCCUGCUAGUGUCAGCCCCAAGGCUUCACUGGGACAAAUGUGCCAUUGUUUGUUAUCCUGCCCUGCAGUUUCUCUUGAAAACUAAAUCCUGAGUAGCAUUCAAGUAAAACAGAGUUCCUGAUUUCCCAGAUGGCAGCCAGUGAGGAACACGCUCCUCUAGAAACGUCUGCCAUCUCUAUCUUGUGUCCUCAGGUGGGUUGAUGGCUUAUUUUUCAUUGAGAGUUCCCCUCGGUUGCCUGGGGUGUCCUUCAGGGCACUGGGGUGUGGCUGCCAACAGAUCUAAUGAUCAGCAAAAGCAUUAUUUGUGUUGUGUUAACAUCUCAAAGUAUCUGUGUGACCUUCCAUGCUGCUUGGCUACGUGAUCAGUGUUGGCACUGCAGAAAUGCUCAUGAAAAAUGUUCAGGAUAAAUCUCCCCCUGGUUCCUACUGGUUCCUCUAAAAACUGGUGAUGUGGGAGACUUCAUGAUGCAACACUUCUCUGACAGAAUACUUCUCUCUGCAUGUAAUUAAGAGUUUGUUUGUGGAGAGAGCUGCUCACACACCACUUUGGGCAUUCAAGUUUCCAUGGAGAGGGACCUGGCUGCCUUUCCUGCCUGGUAGAUGCAAGGCUUGGAGUAGAGCUGCUCUUAGAAAAUGAAGCAUUUGUGCUCAGUUGAGCUUCCUGGAAGGAAGACUUGGCCCAAGUGUGUUGUUUGGGCCAUCACAGGACUGUCAGUCAGCAAUUCUUGGUUUCAUGCCUUGUUUUGUAAGAGAUAUUUUGUAGGAUCUUUGGCAAGUCUCUUCUCUAUCUUUUACCCCCUCGGAGAUACAGACAUAAAACAUAGAGAACUAAGAUAGCUGUGAGCUGGAAGAGCUGCUGCCGGACUCUCUACUCCCAUUAACCCCCAAUUUACUGCCCUGCACCAAUGGCCCCAUCAGUGCCAUACAUUGACAUUUCUGAUGGAUUAUGGCCAUUCUCCUGUCAAUGUGAGCAACCCUUGUGUGCACGGUCUCCUGCGUGGGAUACUGAGCAAAAAUUUGGUGGCUCAUACUUUAACAGUGAGCUGAAUUUAAGUUUUGUUUCUCUUUUAGGCAAACAUUGUUUUAGAAGCCAGAAAUUCUGCCAUCAUAAUGUACAUAAAUUUACUGUCAUCAACCCUUUUGACUAACCUGAAAUGCAACUCACUUUUUGGUAUUCCUGCAGACCUGUGUGAUGAGACACAUUGAGAGAACAAUCUGUAUCAGUGACUGUGAGGUGGACAGGAAACACGUGUUUUUACUGCUCACAUAGGAAAGAAAUCUCAUUCGAUUUAUGUGAUCUCAAGCCAAUUAUGUCCCCUGUGCAAAACCCAGGCCUCCAGCAGCGCAGUCUGUAUCUUUAAGACAACAAAAAUAAACCAGCAGCAUCUGUAAUGUCCUUCUUAAUGGGAUGAAUUAGGAAGAAUGUGUAUGGACACAAUCCUAGAGACUACUCUAAGUGAUUGGAGAAGGAGGGUAGGAGAGCAUGUCAUUCUUCAGCUUUAUCAAAGGAGCUGCUUAUGCACAUGCAUUACUUGGAAUGCCAGUCUCCAAACAUUCUGAUUACUCCAAGUGGUGUUCAUCUGCCAGGUAAAUAACAAGUGAGAUACUCAUAUUUACAAUUGAAAUUGCCUGAGUGUUCAGCUGGCCCUCACCUUUCCAGGCUGGACUUUCAUUGCAUGUUACUCAUCGUCAGUGGCUUGAGAAAAUCUCUUGACAAGACUCGCCUUGGAGCUGGCAGGACCAUAUGAGACUUCAUUUGGAAAAGCAGGUUAGAAACUUCUCCCAAAGGUCUGACCCUAAGCUUCCUCUUUAAUUCAGACAAUUCCCAGUAAGGUCUUUCCCAGUCAGAACCACUGUUUAGGAAUAGUAGCACAGGCUUAUUUAUACUGAUUUUUAGUGAUCCAUUACAUUUCUGAUGUUCUGAAAGGGUAUAAAACUGCAUCAUUCUUAGAAGAUAAAAAAAACUUCAGUGCUUUGCUAUGGAGAUGAUUUUGUGUUGAGGGGUAGUGUCCAUUUGCUGCUAAACAACAUCCCCCUCCAUCACUCCCACCCUUAUAGGCAGGGUGUCUGAAUGGAGGAGCUAGAGCAGAUCUGUGCCCUUCUGGUACUAAAAUUAAAGAGAAAAGAAGUCUGAUCACAAACUAUUCAUUUCUAAAAGCAAUCUCCAAAAAUGAAGUAAUAACCCCUAAAUUAUCGCAGUGAUGAGCAAACCUGCAAGUUCAGCUUGCAAACUGGCAGUCAGAGGUUCCUGAUGCCAUAUGCCUGGAGAAGGUAUUUCUUUUUUGUGUUUUUUCACAUGUAUCAGUGUGAGUAACUCUGUUUUAAGUGAGAGCCACUCCAUCUAAAGUUGGGGAUUGAUAUUAGUACUUUCAUAACAGACAUAAUACCUAAAAGUAUGUUUCAGAAUAUGCUCAAGACAUGAUCUGUCUUUCAGUGUGUGAGCUCUAUCUUAGAAUUACAUUUAAACCUCUGCAGUUUAGAAUCUAGGUGAAGGUUUGAUUAUCUAGGAAGAAAGAAAAAAACCGUAAAAACUUAAGCAUAUGAUACUGAACAGAGUUUUCUCUCGAUGGGUUUUGUUCAUAACCUCCUUGUGGAACUUAACAGAAAAUUAAAUCUCUGCCACUGAGUUCUUAAAGGCAUUGGAAAACACUAUGGUGUAGAUCUUACCUUCCAUCAAAUUCCACUCCAGUGACUUUUAAAAAAUGCAGCUGUUUCACUCAUUUUGAAUUCUUGCAGACUUUUCCAUAGGGGAUAUUUCUAGUUCUGUAAACAGUUUCCCAUCAACUCAGUGAGGAGGGGAAAAAAAAAAAGAAGAAAGGCAUUUUGUCUUGAGGAAAAUCUUGUGUGCUCAGCUGGAGCCUUUCCUGUGAAGCCGCUCUCCCAAGGCCCAAGGAGAUGCUGGAAGUUCCCGUGGCUGCUCCUGUGCUCUGUGCGCUCCAGGCUCAGAGAUGCUCUCCUGGCUGCAGAUAACGUGGUUGUGUUGUGCCACGUGCAGGAGUAAUGCGGGUGGAUUCCCAAGGACGUUGACCAGCAAACCUUCCCCAUGCCCGAAAAUCACCAUGUUUAAAAAAGAUAGAAGAAGAAUUUAAAAAGUAUUGCAAGGAAUACAUUGAGUACUUAUUUUGGCUGGUGGUAUCUUUCCAGCCAAGGAAACCCUCUUUGGCUAGAUUUUGAUGUCGUCGCUGUGGGUGAUGAAUAAAUGUCCCUUCUCCCUCUGACCACUGGGCAUGUGUGCUUUGCUUUGAGAAGCUGGCCCUUGGGGCUGAAAUUUUGUCAUAUUUAGUUCUAACCCAAAAUAUUACAGACCAAAUCCAGCCAAAAGUAUUGGGUGAGGGAGAAAGACUAAUGCAUUGGAAGGUUUGCAGCUGGAACCAUCAUGGAGCUGGCUGAGCUUGGGCACAAGUCCCUGCCCCGAAAGCCCAGUCAGACUGGGACUAUGCCCAUGAUGUUUUGCCUUUCCUCCACUUCUACCCAGGUUCCCUUUUGUCUCCACCGAAGGAUUAUGGCACAUUGUGUGACUCUGGCAGCUCAUGGUGUUCAGCUGGGGCGAGGUGCAAGUGGGGUCCAGUGGCAACAGUAUGAGGAGCAGGGUAUUUCCUUGUGCUUUUCCAAAAUAGCUGUGUGUGAUGCUGACUGUGAAGUUAAAAUGAAAGAUAUCUUGUGCUAUGGGCUUUUCCCCCCUUCUUUAAAUAAAUCUAUAGAUAUGGAGGUAGGAGUGAGAGAGAAGGAGAAGCUUUUGGCCAGUGGCUUUGGGCAAACAGAAGAUUGACCCCGCAGUGUUGCUUGCCGGGCAGGGAAGUUAAAUGGAAACAAAAUCAAAUUACUAAAACAAAAAUUAUAGUGAAGGAGAAUCAUGUUUCCUGAAGGGUUUUGCUUCUCCUGGGUGUGGUGGUCUCUCUUGGCAGGACGUCAGGCUGAGCUCAGUGCCGGGUGGUCACCAUGCAGCACCCUGGGACUGCAUAUCCCGCUUUGUUCUUGGCACGUGGGGUGGGGCUGUUUAUUUAACCAGCUAACUUAGAGCCCCCAAGGACUCCAGGCUCCUGUUUAUCGUUCAGAGUGUCAGCAUUAGUACAGUGCUUCUUUCUUUGGGGUAUUUUUAUUUAGUAACUGCUAACCAGAAAUACACGAUUUCAAGCUUCCCUCUUGUAGAUACCACAGAGACUUGGGCUUGCAGGCAAGAUAACGGGCAAAGUGAAGCUUAGGGGAAUGCUGAGCUCUCACCUGCAAUGCCCUAGUGCAGGCACAGUUGGGUUUAACCCUCUGGGCUGGGGACGAGAUUCUUGGAACAUGAGGAUGUUGGAAAAGACAGCUCUGAGUAUUGCCAAGCUCCUUGAGGAGAUGUUGUAGUUGUGUAUUUUCUUCUCAGCGAUUCUCAUGCUGCCCCAGCUGUGCUCUGGGUUUAUUUCCAGCAGGAGUGCUCAGAGGUUAGGCCUGAAAAAAUGGGCAUUAAAUGCAAUGCUGCAUUUUAUAAACAUUAAAUACAACCAGGCCUUGAUGUGAGCAGUGACUCACAGGUCUAAAAAGCUGUGGGUGUCUCCUGCCUCCCAAAGCACUCACUUCCCAAUGAGAGCCAAACCCCUACAUGGUGCCCAGCUCUUGGUGCUCUUCACUGCAGCAAUGACAGACUUCUACGCUCUACCUAUGGUAAGUAUAGCAGCUCUGCAUGCACAUAGGAUCCAGAAACCAGCCAUAACUCCAUGAAGAUAACAGUGUGAUGCUUCUUCAUGUGUCUAAGGAAUGGACUUGGAGUUUUCAUUUAUUUUCAUAAGAAAACAGUGCUUAGAUAAAAAGGGAAAACUUUUAGCCCAAAUGCCUGAUUCCAGCCCUGUUUGACAUGUGGGUUGCUAUCCCAAAGAGAUCAAGCUCUUCUAAAUUUCAUAAAAAUUAGUAGCAGAAUGGUGGAGAAGGGUUCAAGCUGGACCCUUGGUGGAGAAGGUUGUAGCGUUAAGUCUACAGCCGUCUUCAGAAAACCCACAGGUGAAAGCUGCAGAAAACUGGGUUUCCUAAGUUUAUCUGUUCACAGAUCUCCUUGCUUUUCUUGUACAUGUGCCUGCAAAAAGACCUACAUCUAUCUCUCUUUCCAUUUCACACAUUUUCACCUUGUCUUGAAAAUGGGAUGUGUUGCAGGCAGGACCCCUGCCUCUCAAAGGGACUGACUUGAGGGUGAAUAAAUAACAGCAGGAGAAGCUGGGGAUAGCUGGAAGAAAACCUUAGGUCAAGUCUAAAUAUCAUCGUGGAUGUGCUGUACAUUCCCAGACAGGGAGCAGGGUGGUGUGGAGGCAUAUUUGAGAUUCAUUUGUCUCUGAGCUGUUUAGUACCUUGUGAGAUGGCACAGAAAGACUGUUAACAAAGAAUCUGCUGCUAUUCAGGGCAGCCUUGAGUCAUUGUGGUUUAAAAAAUAAAUUAUCAUAUAAAUAGCUGCUUAGGAAUCUCAGCCUGAAGACCACAAAAUCUCACCAGUGCAUAGCUUUUUUGGCUUAUGUAGCACCAUGUCUACUUGCGGAAUAUUUUGGCCGUGUGUUGUACACCACUUCCUAUUUCAAAAAGAGUAUUAUAGGAAAAGAAUAAAGUCUAUUGUCAGUGACAAUUGCUGGUGGUUUCCUAGUGCCUCUCAUUCCAGGAGGCUGAGCAUAUCAUAACUGGAUUUUUCCUGUCUUCGCUGAACCCGCUCCAAGAUGCCACUACCUUGUGGAGACUGGUAUCCCCUGCCCUGGAUACCCAGAGGUUGGAAUCAAUCAUCCUGCCCUGAUUUGAAUGACCACUUUACCCCUCCAAAGGUUCACAUUAACAGGGCCAUGCUGGUGUAACAACUUACAUUUCCCCAGGAUGUGGAGCCUGAAGUAAGUGAGCGUGGGCUGGGUUGGAGCCAGGAAACCGUCUGAGGCAGGGAUGCAGAUAUUGCCGGAGUGUUCCUACAGGUGCCUGAUUGUUCUUCUCCAAAGAGGGGAUGCUUUGCUGCAUGCUUUGCCAUGUCUUGGAGAGCCUUCCUGAACAGGGGGACUGAAUGAGCUAAACCUUCCUCCUGGAGCCAUCCCUGGGAAUCCAAGGUGGAUGGAAUAGCAGGGACAAUAAGAGUUGAUCCUGUUUGCCCCCAAGAGUGUGCAGCAUGUGCUUUGCCUGCAUGUUGGGACUUCAGAGAGGCUCUGGUUAUGGUUUGGAGAGGACACUUUUGGGAUGCCUCAGGAAAAUGCCACCUUCUGGCUUGGUGCUGAAAACAUGAAUAUGAAAGCACUGCACGGUAAAGGGAAGAUCAUGAGUGUCAAAAGCUCCACAUCUGAUUCCUGCAUGGAAGAUCCUCCCUGCACUUCCCAUUGGCACCCACCUACUGCCAGCCAGCCUGCAGCCAUGUGAAGGUCAGGUAAAAAUAACAGCUUUUUUUGCAAGGCUGACUAAAUGAAGGAAAGGGGUAGGGGAAGAAGGGAGAUAAAUGGCUGUGGUUUGCCAAAACCCCUACAUCUGGCACAUACAGAUUGCUAACAGGGGCAAGCAGAGGCAGCAGUGGCUAAGAAAAAGAGUCCUUACUCUUAGCAGCCAUUUCACAUGCACAGACUUAAAAAAGCCUUCCUUGCUGCCCGACUCUGCUGCAGCAGGGUGGGUGUGGAGCUUGGAGAUUGUUCAAAUUCUGCAUUUCUGGCCCCGCAGAGGCUGCUCUGGCUCACAGCGAUGUCACCGUGAGGGAAUGCGCUUCCCCUGCGCUGGGACAUCUCUGGCCAACACCAGAUACCCUUCCUUCCUGCCUGCUCCCAUGGUGGGGAUUAUUGCUUUUGGCUUCUCCUGGCUUUGAAAGGCAUCCAAAGAGCUCAGCUUUUGCAAGCUGAGAGCAGAGACAGAAAGCCUCUCCCUGCCUCACCUGUUUGUGGUUAUUCAGCUCCCUCCCUUCACGCUUUGGCACAAUAAUGGCCUGAAAGUAAAACAAGAGGCAAGUUCUCCUCCCGGCUCAGAGCACUGAAUGAAACCCAGCCAGCGGGGCCUAUUGAGACAGCAUCAAGACAAAUGUCAACUUUAACACAAAGAGGCUUAAAUGACUGACACAGAAAGGAAUAAUCUCAGAUCUGUUUUCCAGGCUGCUCCCCAGCAUAGUUGUGCUGCAGACGGAGACAAUUUUCAGUUCCCCAGGGAGAUUGUAUAGCCAAAAAAAGAUACUUGGUGGUGAUACGCUAUAAGACUAGGUCAUGAGAAUGGAUGUUUGGAAUAAUGACAGAAUUCAUUAUAGACAAACUAAAUUAACAGAGUGUGUUGAGAAACAUAUGGGGAGGAAAUUGCCACUGAAGCCCUGCAAAGUGUAGCUUUACUUCUCAUUGUGCUGGGUUCUCCCAAGGCCUCCAUGAAACAGGACAGGGGGUUAUAGAAGUCAUUUUGUGGCAACUCUCUGAAUCUGUUGCCUUUUUUGCAGGAUGGCUAUUUGCCUUUGAAUCUUCUGAAAAAGUAAAAGUAAUUAAGGCUCAGGAAGAAUGGGAUUCAAAUGAAAAUAUUCUCCCCAGAAGCAAGAAGAAAAUAAUGUUGUAGUUGGUGUCUUCUUGACCUUGCUCAGAACUUAGCAGUGAAGUGGCUGCAGUGUGGGGGCUGCACUCACCCAUGCCAGGCACCAAGAGCACCCUUCCUUGCCCCUGCACUGCAUUUGCCUUAUCAGGCACUGAGAGCAUCCUCAUCGCCCCAGUGGCACCUCCCUAAGCAGCCACUAGUCCAGCUGCCUCUGGCUUCGAAGAGCUUUGAUCCCAUUGUAGACCCUUUGGGGAAUGUGCUCAGCCUCUUGCCAGAGGCUUCACAUCCUGGGCUGCCAGAAGGAGCUGAGGAGCUCCCCAGGAGACCCUGAGGUAAUUGUGCAGGAUUAAAGAACCAUUGGUCCUUUCAUUGGGAUUAAUGGAUCCUCAGUCAGUGUCCUCCCCAGGACCUCCAUUGCCUGCAGAACUUACCAAAAAGUGUAGUUGCCUUUCGCAAUUAUCAAUUCAAAGCUAUCUGGUAAGAGCUGGAAGCUUCAGGAAAAGUCGCUGUAUCUGAGCAGGCAGUGGCCCCGUGGUGUUUUUGGGUGGCAAAUUGCUGAGCAGAGACUUGGAGCCAUGGCCAUGGGCUUCCAGCAGGGAAACAGAUCUCGGCUUGGUGCCAGAUAUCCAUGCCCCAUGGAAAUCUGUGUUUCUUGUUUUCUGAAAUAUGAAAACUUGUGUUUCUGAAAUAUGUUACUCUGUAGAAGAGACUGCAGGACUGUAGCAAAGAACUUUUAAAGUCAAUGAAACAAUUAACAGCUGGAGUAUAACAGGAUAGUGUUUAGUAGAAAAAAAUCACCCUGGAGAAACUCAAGAUGAAUGACUGAAUAAGAAGAAAUUUAGGGAGUUUUGCUUUUUAUAUUUAUAUUUAUUCACACAUGUGUAUGUAACACCUAUAUACGUGCCUAUACAUGCCUGAGAAGUAAUGAGAGAAUGUCACAAAUCCAGAGCAGUGUGGCACAAGGAAAGGCAGGAGGAUGCUCUGCAAGCUAGUGCAAGUUAGCCUGGCAUAUGACCCAUGCUAAGCAAUGGCAAAUGUGGCCCCAAAUUCAAUUAGUAAAGAAUUAAAGGACUGAAUUUAAUUAAUGUGGAGCACUAUGGAAAUAGUCCUUUUAUUCAAAAGAAACCUACUUUUAUUCUUUCUCUCCCCAGGAUCUGUAAGUCAAGCUGAUAGUGAGGCAUGACAUGUUUUGAAAGAUGUUUAGCUUAAUAUUUCAGGAGGUCCCAGUGGUAGGACACAGCAAAGAGCUUAAGAACAAGGUAAAUGAGUAACCUCAAACAGGAGCUUAAGAAGCAUCUACUGCAAUAGCCUCCCUGGGUCUGGAAGAGAAGAACUGCAGUUCAAAAAAACGUACUGUUAGGUUUACUGUUGGGGCCCUCCCUCUGCCAUGUGGUCCUGGGGGAGGGGCCCUGGGGGGGAGACACAGGGUUUCCCUAGCCCCUGGUCAGCCUCCUUUGCCAUUGGUUGGUUUGUGUUUCCUGGUGCAGGCAGGGACCCUCGGUCCUGUGGUUGAGAGUUCCUCGGCAGAGCCCGGCCAUGUAGCUGGAGAAAUAAACAUCUCUCUGAAACAUCUACCAAGAAUCU
Corvus hawaiiensis (hawaiian crow) is the source of this 10582-nucleotide long non-coding RNA. RefSeq lists it as uncharacterized. The record is from RefSeq and is a predicted model, not a curated record. The transcript is spliced from 3 exons. Lineage: Eukaryota; Metazoa; Chordata; Aves; Passeriformes; Corvidae.